This 159-nucleotide long non-coding RNA is filed under the name Cavia porcellus (domestic guinea pig). RNAcentral's name for it is "lncRNA (ENSCPOG00000040449.1)". Lineage: Eukaryota; Metazoa; Chordata; Mammalia; Rodentia; Caviidae. The record is from RNAcentral.
CAGGGUUUUGCCGUCACAUGGGAGACAUCUGCCGGGAGGGCGGGUUGGGCUGCUGAUGGGUCCAGCUCCAUCACCCCAAGAAUCAAGGCAGACUGACUGCGUCACUCUGGCCCUCAAGAUCCAUAAUCCAAGUGCUCUCUGAAUAAUACAAGAUAACAA